AAAAAAGGUAAGCUACUAAGAGCGAAUGGUGGAUGCCUUGACUGGUAAAGGCGAUGAAGGACGUACUAGACUGCGAUAAGCUACGGGGAGCUGUCAAGAAGCUUUGAUCCGUAGAUUUCCGAAUGGGGCAACCCAAUGUAUAGAGAUAUACAUUACCUAUAUAGGAGCGAACGAGGGGAAUUGAAACAUCUUAGUACCCUCAGGAAAAGAAAUCAAUAGAGAUUGCGUCAGUAGCGGCGAGCGAAAGCGCAAGAGGGCAAACCCAGUGCUUGCACUGGGGGUUGUAGGACUGCAAUGUGCAAGAGCUGAGUUUAGCAGAACAUUCUGGAAAGUAUAGCCAUAGAGGGUGAUAGUCCCGUAUGCGAAAAACAAAGCUUAGCUAGCAGUAUCCUGAGUAGGGCGGGACACGAGGAAUCCUGUCUGAAUCCGGGUCGACCACGAUCCAACCCUAAAUACUAAUACCAGAUCGAUAGUGCACAAGUACCGUGAGGGAAAGGUGAAAAGAACUGAGGUGAUCAGAGUGAAAUAGAACCUGAAACCAUUUGCUUACAAUCAUUCAGAGCACUAUGUAGCAAUACAGUGUGAUGGACUGCCUUUUGCAUAAUGAGCCUGCGAGUUGUGGUGUCUGGCAAGGUUAAGCAAACGCGAAGCCGUAGCGAAAGCGAGUCUGAAUAGGGCGCUUAGUCAGAUGCUGCAGACCCGAAACGAAGUGAUCUAUCCAUGAGCAAGUUGAAGCUAGUGUAAGAACUAGUGGAGGACUGAACCCAUAGGCGUUGAAAAGCCCCGGGAUGACUCGUGGAUAGGGGUGAAAGGCCAAUCAAACUUCGUGAUAGCUGGUUCUCUCCGAAAUAUAUUUAGGUAUAGCGUUGUGUCGUAAUAUAAGGGGGUAGAGCACUGAAUGGGCUAGGGCAUACACCAAUGUACCAAACCCUAUCAAACUCCGAAUACCUUA
RNAcentral lists this ribosomal RNA (952 nucleotides) under Campylobacter jejuni. RNAcentral's name for it is "partial 23S ribosomal RNA". It matches the Rfam family "Bacterial large subunit ribosomal RNA", at positions 1 to 967 of the family's 2925-position model. Lineage: Bacteria; Pseudomonadati; Campylobacterota; Epsilonproteobacteria; Campylobacterales; Campylobacteraceae. The record is from RNAcentral.